UACGUAGGCAGCAAGCGUUGUUCGGAAUUACUGGGCGUAAAGAGUGUGUAGGCGGUGCUCCAAGUCUGGUGUGAAAUCUCCCGGCUUAACUGGGAGGGUGCAUUAGAAACUGGAAUGCUAGAGGAUGGGAGAGGUAAGCGGAAUUCCUGGUGUAGCGGUGAAAUGCGUAGAUAUCAGGAGGAACACCUGCGGUGUAGACAGCUUACUGGACCAUUUCUGACGCUGAGACACGAAAGCGUGGGUAGCAAACAGG
RNAcentral lists this ribosomal RNA (253 nucleotides) under uncultured bacterium. Its description in RNAcentral is "partial 16S ribosomal RNA". It matches the Rfam family "Bacterial small subunit ribosomal RNA", at positions 524 to 776 of the family's 1533-position model. The record is from RNAcentral.